UACGAAGGGGGCUAGCGUUGCCCGGAAUCACUGGGCGUAAAGGGCGCGCAGGCGGGGCUUUAAGUCAGGGGUGAAAUCCUGGAGCUCAACUCCAGAACUGCCUUUGAUACUGAAGAUCUUGAGUUCGGGAGAGGUGAGUGGAACUGCGAGUGUAGAGGUGAAAUUCGUAGAUAUUCGCAAGAACACCAGUGGCGAAGGCGGCUCACUGGCCCGAUACUGACGCUGAGGCACGAAAGCGUGGGGAGCAAACAGG
RNAcentral lists this ribosomal RNA (253 nucleotides) under uncultured bacterium. Its description in RNAcentral is "partial 16S ribosomal RNA". It matches the Rfam family "Bacterial small subunit ribosomal RNA", at positions 524 to 776 of the family's 1533-position model. The record is from RNAcentral.